This is a long non-coding RNA of Rana temporaria (common frog), 1017 nucleotides long. RefSeq lists it as uncharacterized. The record is from RefSeq and is a predicted model, not a curated record. NCBI's taxonomy places the organism in Eukaryota, Metazoa, Chordata, Amphibia, Anura, Ranidae. The transcript has 3 exons.
AUGGAUUGACACUUUUGCAUUAUUGGAAUACAACACAGUUCCCUUUUUAUCUGUACGUUCUUUCUCUGAGUGGACAGAUGUAUUUGCUUUUCCAUCAGGAUACACCAUGACAUCGCAGAAAUACAGCACACCCUGACUGUGGGCUACUGACAUCUAUAACCGGUGAAUAUUUUUUUUAGAUUUACAUGAUUUACAUGUUUCGCUGCAUUCCUGAUCAGCUUUUCAGAACACCUAUCUAGCAAAACAAGAACAAUUUACCAUAUUAUGAUCACACCUGCUUCCAAACGUACAUCAUUAGAUGUAAAAUAGUAGGUACAAGUGGCAGCAGAUUUGGGCACCACCCUUGGCAGUCCUUGUAUCUUUCCUUCUGAUAAUAUCUGGGAGCUGGGUCAGACAGGUAAUAAUCAGCACAGAACUUUCUUUUCCAUUGGCACACUGCUAGUUACCAGUGGCUGGCGAUUUAUGGAGCAGCUUUGUUAAACUAUCUUUGUCAAGUGCCGCCUCUUAUCAACAGAAAACCCAUCAAAUCUCUAAAGAAGCAGUAAGGUGAGAGGAAAAGGGAACUAUGCAGUAACGUGUGGUAGGGCAGGCGGUCUUUUAACAUUCCUGGUAUCCUCAUGGAGUCCUUAAAUAUCAACAAGACCUUAGUGAACCUCUUAGGGGACCAAUGUGUUGCGUGUUCACACAAUUUUACUACAAAUAACAUUGACCCAAACCAAGACCCAGAGAAACUGGUCUAUAUGCUCCUGAUUAUUAGUGGCUUUGCCUUCUGCACCUUGGUGGUGAUGUAUUGGCAUAUUUCCUCUCGAAAAGGUGAUCAUUCUGUGGAUCCCUAUCACCAGUACAUAAUCGGAACAUGGAAGGAAGACAGUCUCAUCCUGGUCAACCACAGGGAAAGAUCUGCAUCUGUGAUAGACGGUGAUCUCAGACCAGAACCUGGACCAUCAUCCAUGUAAUAUAUUACAAAAAUGUAUAGCUAUUAUAUUGUACAUUGUAAUUAAUAUCAAAUUCUUGUCA